RNAcentral lists this ribosomal RNA (460 nucleotides) under uncultured bacterium. RNAcentral describes it as "partial 16S ribosomal RNA". It matches the Rfam family "Bacterial small subunit ribosomal RNA", at positions 338 to 795 of the family's 1533-position model. The record is from RNAcentral.
CCUACGGGAGGCAGCAGUGAGGAAUAUUGGUCAAUGGACGCAAGUCUGAACCAGCCAUGUCGCGUGCAGGAAGACGGCUCUAUGAGUUGUAAACUGCUUUUGUACGAGGGUAAACGCAGAUACGUGUAUCUGUCUGAAAGUAUCGUACGAAUAAGGAUCGGCUAACUCCGUGCCAGCAGCCGCGGUAAUACGGAGGAUUCAAGCGUUAUCCGGAUUUAUUGGGUUUAAAGGGUGCGUAGGCGGUCGGAUAAGUUAGAGGUGAAAUCUCGGGGCUCAACUUCGGCAUUGCCUCUGAUACUGUGCGGCUAGAGAGUAGUGGCGGUAGGCGGAAUGUAUGGUGUAGCGGUGAAAUGCUUAGAGAUCAUACAGAACACCGAUUGCGAAGGCAGCUUACCAAGGUACUUCUGACGUUGAGGCACGAAAGCGUGGGGAGCAAACAGGAUUAGAUACCCUUGUAGUC